GGGCUCGUAGCUUAGGUUGGUUGGAGCACCCGGCUGAUAACCGGGAGGUCGAGAGUUCAAAUCUCUCCGAGCCCA
RNAcentral lists this transfer RNA (75 nucleotides) under Thermoplasmatales archaeon. RNAcentral describes it as "tRNA-Ile". It matches the Rfam family "tRNA". Rfam says of the family: Transfer RNA (tRNA) molecules are approximately 80 nucleotides in length. Their secondary structure includes four short double-helical elements and three loops (D, anti-codon, and T loops). Further hydrogen bonds mediate the characteristic L-shaped molecular structure. tRNAs have two regions of fundamental functional importance: the anti-codon, which is responsible for specific mRNA codon recognition, and the 3' end, to which the tRNAs corresponding amino acid is attached (by aminoacyl-tRNA synthetases). tRNAs cope with the degeneracy of the genetic code in two manners: having more than one tRNA (with a specific anti-codon) for a particular amino acid; and 'wobble' base-pairing, i.e. permitting non-standard base-pairing at the 3rd anti-codon position. Lineage: Archaea; Methanobacteriati; Thermoplasmatota; Thermoplasmata; Thermoplasmatales. RNAcentral also lists the same sequence under 2 other names. The record is from RNAcentral.